Molecule: ribosomal RNA, 433 nt
Filed under: uncultured bacterium
Lineage: Bacteria
Description: partial 16S ribosomal RNA
Rfam family: Bacterial small subunit ribosomal RNA
Source: RNAcentral
AACGAACGCUGGCGGCAUGCCUAACACAUGCCAGUCGAACGAGACCUUCGGGUCUAGUGGCGCACGGGUGCGUAACGCGUGGGAACCUGCCCUUAGGUUCGGAAUAACUCCCCGAAAGGGGUGCUAAUACCGGAUAAUGUCUUCGGACCAAAGAUUUAUCGCCUUUGGAUGGGCCCGCGUUGGAUUAGCUAGUUGGUAGGGUAAAAGCCUACCAAGGCGACGAUCCAUAGCUGGUCUGAGAGGAUGAUCAGACACACUGGGACUGAGACACGGCCCAGACUCCUACGGGAGGCAGCAGUGGGGAAUAUUGGACAAUGGGCGAAAGCCUGUUCCAGCAAUGCCGCGUGAGUGAUGAAGGCCUUAGGGUUGUAAAGCUCUUUUACCCGGGAUGAUAAUGACAGUACCGGGAGAAUAAGCUCCGGCUAACUCCGUG